GAUGAACGCUGGCGGCGUGCCUAAUACAUGCAAGUCGAGCGAACAGAUGAGGAGCUUGCUCCUCUGACGUUAGCGGCGGACGGGUGAGUAACACGUGGAUAACCUACCUAUAAGACUGGGAUAACUUCGGGAAACCGGAGCUAAUACCGGAUAAUAUAUUGAACCGCAUGGUUCAAUAGUGAAAGACGGUUUUGCUGUCACUUAUAGAUGGAUCCGCGCCGCAUUAGCUAGUUGGUAAGGUAACGGCUUACCAAGGCAACGAUGCGUAGCCGACCUGAGAGGGUGAUCGGCCACACUGGAACUGAGACACGGUCCAGACUCCUACGGGAGGCCGCAGUAGGGAAUCUUCCGCAAUGGGCGAAAGCCUUACGGAGCGACGCCGCGUGAGUGAUGAAGGUCUUCGGAUCGUAAAACUCUGUUUUUAGUGAAGAACAAAUGUGUAAGUAACUAUGCACGUCUUGACGGUACCUAAUCAGAAAGCCACGGCUAACUACGUG
Molecule: ribosomal RNA, 497 nt
Filed under: uncultured bacterium
Lineage: Bacteria
Description: partial 16S ribosomal RNA
Rfam family: Bacterial small subunit ribosomal RNA
Source: RNAcentral